RNAcentral lists this ribosomal RNA (483 nucleotides) under uncultured bacterium. RNAcentral's name for it is "partial 16S ribosomal RNA". It matches the Rfam family "Bacterial small subunit ribosomal RNA", at positions 29 to 507 of the family's 1533-position model. The record is from RNAcentral.
AUUGAACGCUGGCGGCAUGCUUACACAUGCAAGUCGAACGGCAGCGCGGGCUUCGGCCUGGCGGCGAGUGGCGAACGGGUGAGUAAUACAUCGGAACGUGCCCAGUAGUGGGGGAUAGCUCGGCGAAAGCCGGAUUAAUACCGCAUACGACCUGAGGGUGAAAGCGGGGGAUCUUCGGACCUCGCGCUAUUGGAGCGGCCGAUGGCAGAUUAGCUAGUUGGUGGGGUAAAGGCCUACCAAGGCGACGAUCUGUAGCUGGUCUGAGAGGACGACCAGCCACACUGGGACUGGGACACGGCCCAGACUCCUACGGGAGGCAGCAGUGGGGAAUUUUGGACAAUGGGCGAAAGCCUGAUCCAGCAAUGCCGCGUGUGUGAUGAAGGCCUUCGGGUUGUAAAGCACUUUUGGCGGGAACGAAAAGGACUGUGCCAAUACCACGGUUCGAUGACGGUACCCGCAGAAUAAGCACCGGCUAACUACGUG